This 520-nucleotide ribosomal RNA is filed under the name uncultured Glomus. RNAcentral describes it as "SSU rRNA". It matches the Rfam family "Eukaryotic small subunit ribosomal RNA", at positions 569 to 1090 of the family's 1831-position model. The record is from RNAcentral. Lineage: Eukaryota; Fungi; Glomeromycota; Glomeromycetes; Glomerales; Glomeraceae.
AGCAGCCGCGGUAAUUCCAGCUCCGAUAGCGUAUAUUAAAGUUGUUGCAGUUAAAAAGCUCGUAGUUGAAUUUCGGGAUCAAUAUGUCGGUCGUGCCUUCGGUACGUACUGGUAUCAUUGGUUUCUCCUUUCUGACGAACCAUGAUGUCAUUAAUUUGGUGUUAUGGGGAGUUAGGACUGUUACUUUGAAAAAUUAGAGUGUUUAAAGCAGGCUUUAGCUUGAAUACAUUAGCAUGGAAUAAUGAAAUAGGACGUUCGAACCUAUUUUGUUGGUUUCUAGGAUCAACGUAAUGAUUAAUAGGGAUAGUUGGGGGCAUUAGUAUUCAAUUGUCAGAGGUGAAAUUCUUGGAUUUAUUGAAGACUAACUACUGCGAAAGCAUUUGCCAAGGAUGUUUUCAUUAAUCAAGAACGAAAGUUAGGGGAUCGAAGACGAUCAGAUACCGUCGUAGUCUUAACCAUAAACUAUGCCGACUAGGGAUCGGAUGAUGUUAAUUUUUUAAUGUACUCAUUCGGCGCCUUA